AAAUUGAAGAGUUUGAUCAUGGCUCAGAUUGAACGCUGGCGGCAGGCCUAACACAUGCAAGUCGAACGGUAACAGGAAGCAGCUUGCUGCUUUGCUGACGAGUGGCGGACGGGUGAGUAAUGUCUGGGAAACUGCCUGAUGGAGGGGGAUAACUACUGGAAACGGUGGCUAAUACCGCAUAACGUCGCAAGACCAAAGAGGGGGACCUUCGGGCCUCUUGCCAUCAGAUGUGCCCAGAUGGGAUUAGCUUGUUGGUGAGGUAACGGCUCACCAAGGCGACGAUCCCUAGCUGGUCUGAGAGGAUGACCAGCCACACUGGAACUGAGACACGGUCCAGACUCCUACGGGAGGCAGCAGUGGGGAAUAUUGCACAAUGGGCGCAAGCCUGAUGCAGCCAUGCCGCGUGUAUGAAGAAGGCCUUCGGGUUGUAAAGUACUUUCAGCGGGGAGGAAGGUGUUGUGGUUAAUAACCACAGCAAUUGACGUUACCCGCAGAAGAAGCACCGGCUAACUCCGUGCCAGCAGCCGCGGUAAUACGGAGGGUGCAAGCGUUAAUCGGAAUUACUGGGCGUAAAGCGCACGCAGGCGGUCUGUCAAGUCGGAUGUGAAAUCCCCGGGCUCAACCUGGGAACUGCAUUCGAAACUGGCAGGCUUGAGUCUUGUAGAGGGGGGUAGAAUUCCAGGUGUAGCGGUGAAAUGCGUAGAGAUCUGGAGGAAUACCGGUGGCGAAGGCGGCCCCCUGGACAAAGACUGACGCUCAGGUGCGAAAGCGUGGGGAGCAAACAGGAUUAGAUACCCUGGUAGUCCACGCCGUAAACGAUGUCUACUUGGAGGUUGUGCCCUUGAGGCGUGGCUUCCGGAGCUAACGCGUUAAGUAGACCGCCUGGGGAGUACGGCCGCAAGGUUAAAACUCAAAUGAAUUGACGGGGGCCCGCACAAGCGGUGGAGCAUGUGGUUUAAUUCGAUGCAACGCGAAGAACCUUACCUGGUCUUGACAUCCACAGAACUUUCCAGAGAUGGACUGGUGCCUUCGGGAACUGUGAGACAGGUGCUGCAUGGCUGUCGUCAGCUCGUGUUGUGAAAUGUUGGGUUAAGUCCCGCAACGAGCGCAACCCUUAUCCUUUGUUGCCAGCGAUUAGGUCGGGA
Molecule: ribosomal RNA, 1145 nt
Filed under: Salmonella enterica
Lineage: Bacteria; Pseudomonadati; Pseudomonadota; Gammaproteobacteria; Enterobacterales; Enterobacteriaceae
Description: bacterial SSU rRNA
Rfam family: Bacterial small subunit ribosomal RNA
Source: RNAcentral